Molecule: non-coding RNA, 715 nt
Organism: Parasteatoda tepidariorum (common house spider)
Lineage: Eukaryota; Metazoa; Arthropoda; Arachnida; Araneae; Theridiidae
Source: RefSeq, a predicted model, not a curated record
UCUAUUGUAUUUUCAUCGAUUUUAUGUAGGAUUAGAUAGAGAUAAAAUAAAUAAAGAUGAUUGAGAUUGUUAUUUUUUAAUUUAAAUUGUUUAAAAAUGUUUAUAAAUUAUAGUUAUUUUAAGAAUAAAAAAUAACAAGCUUAGCAUUACUUGAUAUAAGGCAGAGUAGUAAACAACAUAAAAACAGUCAAUUUUUAUGUUUUCACAUAAACAUUGCAUCCAAUUUAAAUACACAAAUUAAAUUCAAUACCAUUUAAAAGAAUAAAUUAAAAAAUUCUUCAGAAUAUUAGAACAUAAUUGUAAACUGCAUUUUGAUCACUCUAAUUUGAAACUAACUUUCACAAUGCCUGAUGGAAAAUCUCUUACGUUUCAAUUCAACUGAAAGACGUCAAAAAUGACAAAUCUAUCAAAGACGGGUAGUUCGCCUGGCCCCGAGACAUUCUAAUCCAACAAAGUGUUUGUGUUAUUUUGUUAUGAUGAUCUGGUAGUAAUAAUGAAACAAAAUAUACUUAUUCAUUCUUUAAUUUUAUUGAUUUAAUUCCUCUGAUUUAUCGGACUGCACUAUACGUUGUGCAAAUUGAGAAAUAAUAUCAAAAAAAUUUGUGUUAAAAAGAGCAAUAAUUAAACCAAUAGGAUCUAAGACAUGGACUCCAAAGGAAAAUUUUAUGGAAGAUUUUCAGUGACAUUUGUGAAAAUGGGCAUUGGAAGAUCAGAA